AUCUCUGUAGCGCAAUGGAUAGAGUGCGUUGGACUUCUAAUCCAAAGUUCAAGGGUUCAAAUCCCACCUGGGAUA
Molecule: non-coding RNA, 75 nt
Organism: Trichonephila clavata
Lineage: Eukaryota; Metazoa; Arthropoda; Arachnida; Araneae; Nephilidae
Source: the annotation of a GenBank genome assembly